AUUGAACGCUGGCGGCAGGCCUAACACAUGCAAGUCGAGCGGCAGCGCGGGGGCAACCCUGGCGGCGCGCGGCGGACGGGGGAGGAAUUCGUCGGAAUCUGCCUUCUUGUGGGGGAUAACGUAGGGAGACUUCCGGUAAUACCGCAUACGUCCUACGCGAGAAAGUGGGGGACCGCAAGGCCUCACGCAGAAAGAUGAGCCGACGACUGAUUAGCUAGUUGGUGGGGUAAAGGCCCACCAAGGCGACGAUCGGUAGCUGGUCUGAGAGGAUGAUCAGCCACACUGGGACUGAGACACGGCCCAGACUCCUACGGGAGGCAGCAGUGGGGAAUAUUGGACAAUGGGCGCAAGCCUGAUCCAGCCAUGCCGCGUGUGUGAAGAAGGCCUUCGGGUUGUAAAGCACUUUUGUCCGGAAAGAAAUCCCUGGAGCUAAUACCGUCGGGGGAUGACGGUACCGGAAGAAUAAGCACCGGCUAACUUCGUG
This 484-nucleotide ribosomal RNA is filed under the name uncultured bacterium. Its description in RNAcentral is "partial 16S ribosomal RNA". It matches the Rfam family "Bacterial small subunit ribosomal RNA", at positions 29 to 507 of the family's 1533-position model. The record is from RNAcentral.